GCGAGAUUAUGGGCCGGGAGCCAGGAGUGAGUGUAUAGCUUGCGCCUGACUCCUUGCAGGCCUUGACCAAGUCACUACUCCUCGGAGGCUCAUUUUUCACUUCUAUAAAAUUAGGGUAUUUGGCAUCACAUAACCUAUAAGAUUCCUCCAGCUCUAGAAGUCUAUAAUUUUGAGUUUCAUUGGAGGUUUACUUUCUAGAACAUCUCUGUUGCUCUUGGGAUGGAGCAGUGCUGGUGGUUCAGCAUGCCUUUGGCCUCUGUUUUGCCAUUAUUGGCUUAUCAUUAAGUAACACGUCUCUUUAAGUUAUGUGACGUGUCACGUCUGUUGGACACACUGUUAAACAGCAAACACUUUAGCAGUUGGCAGGGUUUCUAGUAAAAUGUCGGGGAUGUUUGUUUGCCAUCCUGAGCCGCACUGAUGUUAGGAGAAAACAUGCAAGACUAUAUUUAGCGUGGUGGUUGGCCUCUUAAAAAGGCUUAAUGUGCGUGCCUGGGCCAGGUGAGAGGUGGUAAUAAUAGCACUUGAUAGGGUUCUGAGAGUGUAAAUGAGACAGUGGAUGUGAGGUGCUUAGUGCUUUCCCUGGGUUCUAGUAAGGGAGCAGAAAGUGUCAGUAAUUAGCGUUGCUUUUUGAACUAAACUGUUGACCUUUAAAUUUUUUUAUCAGUGAUGGGGUUUGUUGUUUUGGUUUGAACGGAUAUGCCCAAGCAGCUCUGUUUGGAGGCACUGGUUUCAAGAAGCAAAUGAACACAUUUUGAUCAUUACAAAAUAAGCAUUUUUGCUGUCAUAAUUCAUUUUGACUGACUAAAAAGUGAUUGGUUAGGUAGCAUGUGUUCAAAUGAAGGUUUUGUAUUUUCUGUAAAUUGAAGAAAACAAUUCGUCCUGAAGCUCCCUUACUAGUAAUGGCCGGGAUUAAGUUUCACCGGGCCUGUGGUUAAGUUAAUAUGUACUUGUGGUGACUGCCUUAGAAAAGUUGUGUGGACUUGAAAGCCCGCUGCUGCUGAGGGAGAAAGGUGGCUGUGAGGUAGUUUAUAGUAAAAGGUAAACAUUUUACAGUUGACUGAGUGCCUUCCAGAUCUUCAACUGAAGGUCUUCACCACAAUCCAGGCAGUGGUGUGGGUGAUGGACUUCUCAUUUGACAGGUUUGGAAACUGAGGCAGAGGCCUCACGGCUGGGAAUGUGCUGGUGUUUCCUUGUCUCCAGACCCUGGCUCCCCCCGACCCCCGGCCCUUUCUGGUGGAGCUGUCCGGGUCUGGGGCUGAGCGUCUCCUUUGCAGUUCAAAGGCUUUUGUGUCCAUUUGCGCCUUGUUUCCAGCUCAAGUGAACCUGCUCCUGCUAAUGGAAGUGGAAAUGCAUCGCUCAUCCAGAUCCCAGGAUUCACAGAUGGAUUCAGUGGAAAAGACAACAACUAGAAGUGAACAGAAAUCGAGUAGAAAGUUUUUGAAAAGCCUCAUCCGGAAACAGCCCCAGGAACUGCUCUUGGUCAUUGGGACCGGUGUCAGUGCUGCAGUGGCCCCGGGGAUCCCUGCCCUCUGCUCGUGGAGAAGCUGCAUCGAGGCUAUCAUCGAGGCCGCAGAGCAGCUGGAGGUGCUUCACCCAGGGGACGUCGCCGAGUUCCGCAGGAAAGUAAUGAAGGACCGGGACCUGCUGGUUGUUGCCCAUGAUCUGAUCCGGAAGAUGUCACCUCGCACAGGCGACACCAAGCCCAACUUCUUCCAGGACUGCCUGAUGGAGAUCUUCGACAGCCUGGAGCAGCACAUCCAGAACCCGCUGGUGCUGCAGUCCAUCCUCAGCCUGAUGGAGCGGGGCACGAUGGUCCUGACCACCAACUACGACAACCUGCUGGAGAUCUUUGGGCAGCAGCAGAACAAGCCCAUGGAGUCUCUGGAUUUGAAGGACAAGACCAAGGUCCUUCAGUGGGCAAGAGGACACAUCAGAUACGGAGUCCUCCACAUUCACGGCUUAUACACAGACCCCUGCGGGAUGGUACUGGAUCCAUCAGGAUAUAAAGAUGUCACUCAGGACCCAGAAGUCAUGGAAGUUCUCCAGAACUUGUACCGCACCAAAUCUUUUCUGUUUGUGGGCUGUGGAGAGACCCUUCGUGAUCAGAUUUUCCAAGCUCUUUUCCUUUACUCAGUGCCAAAUAAGGUGGAUUUAGAGCACUACAUGGUUGUGCUCAAAGAGAAUGAAGACCAUUUCUUUAAGCACCAAGCAGACAUGCUUUUGCACGGGAUUAAAGUAGUGUCCUACGGGGACUGCUUCGACCACUUCCCGGGGUACGUGCAAGAGCUGGCCACGCAGAUCUGCAAGCAGCGCAGUCCAGAUGCCGAUGGAGUGGACAGCACCACAUUGUUGGGUAAUGCAUGCCAGGACUGUGCGAAGAGGAAGUUAGAAGAGAAUGGAAUUGAAGCUUCCAAAAAACUCCGACCGUCAGAUACGGAGAGAGACCAAGGUGCAUCUUCUCAGUGCUGCUGACCACACGGGCAGGCUGCAACGCUUGAAGGAAGGUGGCAGGCCCCUAGCCGCACGGCAGUCCUGUAUGAUGCUGGAGGGUCUUGAAAUCUUUAAAACCAAUAAAACCUGCAACUUGAAAACCGGCCUCUGUAACCGCAGUGCCAUACCCAGCCGUGAGGGACGUUCCGAGACCUCCACGUGGGAUCUCAGCU
This is a non-coding RNA of Equus caballus (horse), 2663 nucleotides long. The record is from RefSeq and is a predicted model, not a curated record. Lineage: Eukaryota; Metazoa; Chordata; Mammalia; Perissodactyla; Equidae.